AGUGAACGCUGGCGGUAGGCCUAACACAUGCAAGUCGAACGGCAGCACAGUAAGAGCUUGCUCUUACGGGUGGCGAGUGGCGGACGGGUGAGGAAUACAUCGGAAUCUACUUUUUCGUGGGGGAUAACGUAGGGAAACUUACGCUACUACCGCAUACGACCUACGGGUGAAAGCAGGGGAUCUUCGGACCUUGCGCGAUUGAAUGAGCCGAUGUCGGAUUAGCUAGUUGGCGGGGUAAAGGCCCACCAAGGCGACGAUCCGUAGCUGGUCUGAGAGGAUGAUCAGCCACACUGGAACUGAGACACGGUCCAGACUCCUACGGGAGGCAGCAGUGGGGAAUAUUGGACAAUGGGCGCAAGCCUGAUCCAGCCAUACCGCGUGAGUGAAGAAGGCCUUCGGGUUGUAAAGCCCUUUUGUUGGGAAAGAAAAGCAGCAUGUUAAUACCCCGCUGUUCUGACGGUACCCAAAGAGUAAGCACCGGCUAACUUCGUG
This 492-nucleotide ribosomal RNA is filed under the name uncultured bacterium. Its description in RNAcentral is "partial 16S ribosomal RNA". It matches the Rfam family "Bacterial small subunit ribosomal RNA", at positions 29 to 507 of the family's 1533-position model. The record is from RNAcentral.